Homo sapiens (human) is the source of this 1639-nucleotide long non-coding RNA. The record is from Ensembl. NCBI's taxonomy places the organism in Eukaryota, Metazoa, Chordata, Mammalia, Primates, Hominidae.
ACUUCUCUCAGCCCCAGACUGUCAGCUCUCAGGAUUAUCCACCUCGGCUCCUGGUUGCAGCAACUGCUGUGGCAGUAUGUGGAGCGAGCACCUCUGGCUCCCAACUUCUCCUGACUGAGCUGGCCACUCGCUUCCUUCUCCUCUGUGCCUCAGGCGCUUGCUGAGACUUCUCUGUUGGACUCUAGUGCUCUCUCCUGGAUGUUCUAUUCGAGGUGUGCUUAUCUCUUCAUAAUUUUGGGUCUUCUUUCUGGAGAGGCUCUGCCGCACUAAGCUCUCUACAUGGCCGAGGCACCAGACCAGAAUGCGCCCUUUCGACAGGCAGAGAGAGCCAAAGGGGAAAAGAGCUGAGUCAAGGCUGCCAAGUUCCUGCUUCCAGCCCUACCAGCCGGUCACUCGCGCCUUGCAAUGAGGAAACCAGGAGUCCUAUCUAGAGCCUUUCCAUAGUUGUGGGAAAGAAGAUGGGUAAAGUUAUUGUUAAUCUACAGAGGAAGGAAUGAUGCCAAGUUUUUCAAGGCUUCCAGAGUCACAGGAGGAGUCACUUGGUAAAUCCAGGAGCAGAAACCAGGUUAAGUGACUAGCCUAAGGUAAGAGCCAGAUUUGGAGCUUGGAAUCUGAUAGCCCUUAGGGUGCUUUAUUCCCUGAGCCAAUCCACACUUCUACCUCAGUAAAGGAAUCAACUGAGGGCUCAGCUUUUCCUCUGCAAGAAACCUGCUCUCUGGGACAGCCCAAGGGAGCUCAUUCAUCCCUUCCACCACGUGAGGAUGUGGUGAGAAUGUGCUAUCUAUGAACCAGGAAGCAGACCCUCAGCAGACACUGAAUCUACCAGUCCCUUGACCUUGGACAUCCUAACCUCCAGAACUCAUGCACAAGCAAUUCUAAACAAGGCUCAGCGAUAACAUAUCCCUUCCCAUGAGUGGAUCACUCCCACUGCCUCUUUCACACACCCUGCCUCCUGCAAGCCAAUGCUGUGAAGCCCAACCUAGCCAUGUGGCAAGGGAGAUGUCUGCCCAGUCUCCAGCUGCUCCAGCCAUCCCAGCUCAGGCACCAGUCACUUGAGGGAAGAAGCCAUCUUGGAUGUCCAGCCUAGUCUGGCUUUGAGAAGACUCUAGCUCCUGCUGCCAUCUUACUGCAGUUUCAUGAAGGAUCAAAUGUCAUAGCCAUCCAGCCGAGCCUUGGCAAACUACAGACUGUAUAAGGAGUUUUUUUAGGGCACUCUGUUACGCAGCAAUUGAUAAACAAAAAAGAGAAGAGGCAUGCAAGAAGAAGAGAGCCUCUUCUCUCUUAAAAUAGCAACAAGUGUCCUUGGCUGUGUGGGGUCUCUAGAGAUCAGCUAAUCUUGAUGUUGACAGAGGCCAAAAGUACUUGAUUUCACUACCGGAUGGAAAUUAUAUCUGUGUAGAUGUUGCUAAGCAACAAGAGAUCAGAAACCUAUAAGGAGUGACCAUAUAAUGCAAAGCAUUGAGUCAGCCAACUGAGUUCCUCCUGCACUUAUUUUUUAGAACCUGCUUAUAAAAGAAGCAAUGUCCACAAUGUGUGGGGGGAGGAAAGUCUCCUGGGACCUUAAGAGGAAAGCGUACACUUCAUCAUAAUUUGCCUGCAAUGAUCAGCAAACGAAAAAGUCAAUACACAACCUGAAAAA